Long non-coding RNA from Xenia sp. Carnegie-2017, 109 nucleotides. RefSeq lists it as uncharacterized. The transcript has 2 exons. NCBI's taxonomy places the organism in Eukaryota, Metazoa, Cnidaria, Anthozoa, Malacalcyonacea, Xeniidae. The record is from RefSeq and is a predicted model, not a curated record.
UAUUUUUGUCAUACAUUUAGUUUAUACUACUUAAUGUAUGUACUGUUGCAUCUCAUGGUAGGAAUGAUCACUGAAAACAGACUGCAUCAUGGAUGUGGAUUCUGCAUUC